Molecule: microRNA precursor, 68 nt
Filed under: Bombyx mori (domestic silkworm)
Lineage: Eukaryota; Metazoa; Arthropoda; Insecta; Lepidoptera; Bombycidae
Description: mir-2774 microRNA precursor family
Rfam family: mir-2774 microRNA precursor family
Source: Rfam by way of RNAcentral
UCUGUUGAAGGACCGUCGGUCUACCGAGCAAAUAUCAUCCGCUCGGUGGUAGAUCUUUCCUUUGUCGU